UUUUUUAAUAUUUUCCCCUUGGGCAAUCCAAGCUAUUUCAUAGCCUCAAAUGUGACCUGUAUAUGGCUGACUUCCAAAUUUAUAUACUAGCCAUCAUCUCUUUCCAGAACUGUAUUUCUGAUAACCUACUUGUCAUUUCUAACUUAGAUGUUUAAAGAAAAUGUUUGAUCAGUCCAAAACGGGAUUAUCUUUUCCUCAAAAUCAUUGUCUUGGUUGAAAUUCUUUAUUUUGUGUAAUGGAAUCAUGGCAGUGAUAAUAAUGAUCUUCUACGAUAAUAAUAAUAAUAAUAAUAAUAAUAAUAAUAAUAUCAAGGAGAAACAUUUAUUCAACAUUUACAAUAUUCCAGGCACCAUUUUAAGAGGACUGCAUAGAUUAAUUCAUUAGUCCUCACAAAAAUCUGAUGAGUUAAAAAUAAUUAGUAUACUUGUUUUAUAAGUUAAAAAAUUAGGCACAAAGAGUUUGAGCAAAUUGCCCAAGGUCACACUGAUAAAAUAAGUGGUGAAACUAGCUUUAAAAUCUCAAUGCAAAGUCUGUUUUUAUCUUUUAUUAUUUAUUUAUUUAUUUUUAACUACAAUUCUAUGGUUCAAAGCUAAAAACAUCAGAGUCAUCCCUGAGUCAUUCCUUCCUCUUACAUCACUAAAUCAUUUACCAAGGCCUGUCAAUUUGGUAUCUUAUAUAUACUUAGUCAAUGUCCUUCUUAUCACCUCUACUACUGCUUUAUUUUUUCAAGUAAUCAUCAACUCUCAAAGAGUGGCAAAGACUUAAGAUCUCUAAUAUUUUAUUGCUUCAAUGAUUCCUUCAGCAUAGCCAGGCAUGAUACAAUCAUUCCUAAUUUUAAAAUCUUUCCUUAGCUUUUUGUUUCCUAUAGAAUACAAUUCAAGCUCUUUGGCAUAGUACACAAGAUCUUUUAUAUUCUAAAGUUGUUUUCUAUUUCCAGACAUAUCCCACUUGCUCCUCAACUCUACUACAAACAUAUGCUCACAGUUGUACUGAAUUAUUUAUCCUUACCUAAACAUAUAUGUACAUAUGCAUAUGUAUGUGUAUAUAUGUGUAUAUAUAUGUGUGUGUGUAUAUAUAUAUAUUCACAGCCUAAUGGAAAAAAAUACAUACAUAUACACAUAUAACCCUAACCAUUGGGCUAAGAAUUUCUCAAUGGAAAGAUUGUAUAGUAUUCAUUAUAUAUUUUUUACCUUAAAACAUAUAAUAUCUCACACUUCACAGUUACUUGAUGUGUUUUGGUUGAAAAGAUGAAUGAAGGAAGAAUGCAAUGAAAGAAGGACCUAAAAGCUUUAGGUAACCAUAUUUUAUGGUCCCUGAUGUUCAUUAACCCAGAUCAGCCUCUCUUACAACUGAAAGAGGAUGAGUAUGAAAGAUGCAGGAAUUGGGCAAUUCUGGAAUGUGUACACUAUACUCAGCCACCUUAAAUACAGACUAGAAAUGUUUUUGCUAUUUUUAUACUCUAAGUAAUGUCAUUAUAAAGUAGUUCUGGAAAUAUAUACUUGUAUUAGUUAUACAAAGAUUUCCCCCAUAUGCUUUUAGCUUAUAAUUACUGCGGGUUUGCUUUCCAUUCGAGGAAGCAGGUCUAUGGAAGUUAAAUGGAUUCCAAAUUCACCAUCAUGGUUGGAACAUAGAAGAACUUGUUAAAUUAAAUUAGGAGAAUGGUGGUCUCUUUUUACAGUAAUUUAGGAGUGGUGAUGGGCAUAAAUGACUACAGGUGACAAUAAAGCUAUCAGGAUCAAAUGAUACUGUGAUUCAACAGGCCACACGUGUCAGGGACAAUAGGCGUAGAAGCGAUUGCUCUGCUUGUUAGAAUCUCUAUGCCUAUAUUAAAAUAAUUUUGAGUAUUAUUCUCCUCAGUUAUAGUCUUUAUUUGAAUUUCUACCCUACUGAUCCUUUGAACAUGCAUUUUAAUGUGAAUCUUACUAAACCACUUUUAGGUAAUAGAUAGGGCAUAAAAUUAUUCUAAGUGGAAAGAAAAAGAAACUAAAACUCAGCCAAAUCAAUUAACUUUCUUAAUUAUUUUCUUACUAUAAGGUAUUUAUUGAACUAAACAAAAUCAUCACUCAAAAAAUCAAGGUUAUAUAAUUCUAAAUAAGGUGGCAAUGACCCAAGUCAUUUAGCUGCACAAACAUCUGGCAGGUGAAAUGACAGCAUCUAAAUCAUACAUCAGCUAUGAUGAGAAAAAUAAAAUUUUUGGACUAGAACAGUUGCUUGAUAAAUGUAUCCUACUUUUUGUUCAAUGUUUACUUUUGAUAAAUGGCCAGACUUUGCCAUGACUUUGCCUUGACAUUUAUCUCACAGUCAGUGGCCAUUAUCUUGUGACAACACUCUAUUUCUUUCUGUUAUCUUGCAACUUGUAAAGAUUUCCAAUCAAUUUUGUAAUUUAUGACAUACAAAGCCAAACUUUCAAAUAAAGUAUUUCAGGCAUAUGGUUUAUAAUUGAAAUUAAAAAAUAAUAGACUUACAGCAGUUUUUGUGGCUGUUGUUUACAUAUAUAUUACAUACGUACAGGAAAAAUGUUGUGGAAAGCAAAGCAAACACUAACAUUUUUAAAAAUUCAAAUUUCUUUAAAUUGUAUAUAAAUUACUGAGGUUUUAGACUUGGAGCUCAAAGAGGCACAACAAUAUUUUGCUCAUUAACAUACUGAUCACAUCCCAUUUUAUUAGAUGGAGUAGCCACCAUUGCCAAUUCCUUAGAGUACUGAGCAAGUUGCCAGGAAUAUAUAAGCAUUGGCAUUCCCCUCAUUGAACAUAUUUUUUCCUUCCCUAUGUUUUGCUACUCUUGUGGCAAUAGGAAUCUUCCCAGAGCAUACUAGAAAUGACAGAAUUGCAAGGCAAAUCAUCUAAGAGAGUAUUUUUUGUUUUGAUAAUUCGUUUUAAAACAUUUCAUCUGAGCAACGAGAUAAUGAAUUGUACUAGUAACACCUGGACUAGUUCUCUAUGUCCGAUUUAAUUGCUCUAUUUUUAGAUGAGGAAACUCAAACCUGGAACUUCUUUAUAACUUUUCUAAGUCUAUUUAGAUUAAAAAAAAAAACACUCAUGUGAUAGUAAUCUUUUCCAUAAACACCUAAACCAAUGUUCUUUCUAUUGAUCAUUUUUCAUAGAAGUUACGUGGAAUACUUGAUAAAAAUACAGACUUCUUGAUUCUCCAAAUCUGGGAUGAGGCCAAGGAACCUACAUUUUACAGUCUAGAAUAUUCUGAUGUCUAGGGCAUUCUGAUGUAGCCAAACUAAGAACAUAUUUUGAGAACAGUUGUCCUAUGCCCACAUUUCUUCAUAAAUAUAUUGCUUUGAUUACAUACUAGAUAUCUCAAUGAUGCGAUUUCAUAGCCAUUCAGCUUUAAGAAUAUCUAAUGCAGAUUGAAAUGGGAAGGAGAUGGAGGUGUGUAUCUGUGUGUGUAUGCGUGUGUGUGUACAUGUUUGUUAAGGUGAAAACUAAAGAUGAAGAAUGCCUUUGGUAGGAACUUGGUCACAAAUAAGCUGAAAGCAUCAUAGAAUAUUAAUCAAAUUGAUUCAAGACCCAGACAUUUUUAUAUAUAAUAACUACUUUUUGCAUACAUAUUUUUUGGAAUGUAGAUAAGUGUGCAUGCUGGGAGCCAAUGAAAAGUUACUUCAAAGGGGAGGGAGACCUUAUGCCAACUUCUCCCAUAGGAGGUGAAAAGACUGCUAGAAGCUCCUUGCUAUAAUGAUGCCAUCCACAUCUUCAUUUUUUCAUUGCCGUCCUUACCAUGCACUCACGUGCCAGUUCCAGACCAUUUGGACAUUGCCAAUAAGGGAUGAUCAAUCCUCAGAGGAAACAUGCGUCACUUUCCACAUGAUCCUGUAUGAUGCUUUCUGUGAACUCCAUUCAGCACUCAUCUCUAGCAGACAGGUGGUGCUGUGGUGGUCAUCUCUUAGAAAACUUGUUUUCCGGGGAGCUAUGAGACCAUAGUCAAAUAUCAUGGUGAUCACAUUAAUAGUGAGGUGUAGGAUGAGUUCUCUGUCAUAGACAGCAGGUAUGGACCAGCAACUUCUUCAGUAGUGGAUUACCCAAGCUAACAAUAACAUGAAGUAAUUGUUUCACUUUGAUGCCAGUAUUUCUGGAUCUUUACACCCAAAUUCGUUGUGCAUUUGGCAGCAAUUGUACCUUAUAAAUUGGAAAUGGAUCCAGAUAUGCAGCAAUUCUGUUAGUGUAACCAAGAGUUUGCAAGUUUAAAUAUUCAAGUCAUACCAUUGUCUCACUUUGAG
Molecule: long non-coding RNA, 4225 nt
Filed under: Canis lupus familiaris (dog)
Lineage: Eukaryota; Metazoa; Chordata; Mammalia; Carnivora; Canidae
Description: lncRNA (ENSCAFG00000051711.1)
Source: RNAcentral